Long non-coding RNA from Capsicum annuum, 3802 nucleotides. RefSeq lists it as uncharacterized. The record is from RefSeq and is a predicted model, not a curated record. Lineage: Eukaryota; Viridiplantae; Streptophyta; Magnoliopsida; Solanales; Solanaceae. The transcript is spliced from 10 exons.
AUCUCAAAAUUAUUAUUUUAUCCUAGAUUAUUUACAAACGAAACGGUCCCUUAAUUAAUUCCCCCCCUCUCGCCUCUUUCUUCUAAUAAUUUUAUUUUAGGGAAAGCAGUGGAAAGCUUGGUAUAUGGGAGAGUUAAGAAUGCAAUGAAAAAGUUAGAUGAAUUUGUGGAUCGGUCAUCAAAAGGAGUGGGACUUGAAGAGAAGAGCAGUGAAAUUGGUGGUGUUAAUGGUGAAGAAUGGGAUUGGGAGCGAUGGAAAAAGCAUCUUACUGAGGUUGAAGAGGAAUAACGAUUGGUUUCUGUUUCAAAGGCAAGUGGCAGUAUCAUGAGUGAGUUCGUACAAUAUGGAGAACGAUAAUUGGAUCAUUAAGUCGGGGAAGGCAGGGACAAAUUUGAAGUCGAGGAAGACGAUGAAGUGUUUCUGCUGGCACGAACAAUUACAGAUAGACGACGUGGUUCCAUCCGCUGACUCCCUUGAAUGCAAGGAUUACACAGCAAGUCUCCAAUCAUCAAGAGCUAGAGAAGCUGAACAAAAUCUAGAUACCAGCUUUAUUGAAGAAGCUGAGUCAUCUUUGCGCGAGUAUGGUGCUUUGAAUUAUGAGAUCCACAGUGUGCUAUCGCUGCAGGAGGAAGAUAACUUUCUUCAAGCUAUCUCAAAUAUGUCAAGGUUGAGACGCCCAAACAUUGUUCAAUUGAUAGGAUAGGCAACGUCUUCUGGUUUAUGACCAUGUCACAAAUGGUAGCCUGCAUGAUGUGCUGCACUUUGUUGAUGACAGGAGUGAAUUGCUUACUUGGAAUGCCCGAGUUAGAGUAGCUCUUGGCACUGCUCGAGCUUUAGAGUGCUUGCAUGAAGUCGGUCUACAUUUUGUUGUACAUAGAAACUUCAAAUCCACAAAUAUUUUACUGGAUGAAGAGCUCAAUCCCCAUUUAUCAGAUUGUGGGUUAGCAGCUUUGACUCCAAACACCAGCACUAAGCCACACCAAACCUCACCCGUAAUUGAUCAAAAGAAAAGACAAAUGACCACAAAGCUGCUAGGCUUUACUUAACUAUAUGUUUACAGAAUAUCAUCCUAAAGUUCUAGAGGCAAAUAGAAGCAAAGCUUCACAUUAUUGGGGAAUAUUUCUUCCAAAUGUGGUAUUUUUGUUGAGAUUAAUAAAGGAAGUUCCUCUGCAGCCCUUCGAUAGUAAAUAUCUACAUCAUACAUUUUUUCUUUUCAAAAAUUGGGAGUAGGGGAAGGAAAAAUGGAGGAGGGGAUUUCUAGAUAGAAAAUUUGAGUUCAGAUUACCAACCGACUAACUGAGGUACUAAGAUUUCCAUUUGUUCCUAUACCCAAACAAAAUGACAAAGGAACAAAAACAGCUACAAAUCCAAAAAUUAGGCUUAGUCCAACAGAUUAUCUUGCUUAUUCAUAUUUCAAUUUUGAAGUUGUAUCUAAAAAAGGUUAACUGGAAGACGAGUUAGGUGCAAAAUAAGUUGAAUAAAUGGAGUGUGUCAUAUGAGAGUCUAGCAAAAUCUUUUUUCUCUAUUUAACUUUGUAUGUUGUACCUUUUUGUCUGAAUAGAUUGUUCCCAAUGAUAUGAAAAGGUACACUGCAGGAUGUUGCUCAUUUUAUUUAAGGUUGAGUAAAUAAACAUAUGGAAAGAUUUCACCUUUCUUUGUAUGAUUUGAAUUUUGCGUGCUUUGUGAUUCGACUUAUUUUUCAAUUCACAACCUGUUAAGUUUGUAUGCCGGUGUUUCUUCACUUCUUUAUUCAUUUGUUGCUCAUUAGGGAUUUUUGGUUUUGUUUGUGGACUUGCAAUUUAACUCUGUUUGUUUCUCAUGAUAACUUGUAGUUAUUGCUAUGUUGGAUUAAGCUUUUAUUAGAAGUUUAGGUUAUUUGAGUUGUCUCAUGGUUUUCUAUUUUUGCUAUAGUUGAUAUUAUUCCAAUAGUAUAUUAAAACUCUUCUCCCAUUUGGAUGGUAAGACAUGCUUUAUUUUUUUUGUUGUACUAUUUUUAGACCUAAACAAUUGAGGAGUUCAUGAAAAUUAUAACUGUCCCUUUGUUGUAAAGGUUGGAUAUGUGCAAGCGAAGUUGCAAAUGGCUUGCUUUAGAUCUUAGAGUUAGGCUGUUUUUUAGAGUUAUCUCAUCUGUUUCAUCUAGGGCUGUCAAAAUAAACCCGUUAAGGCCCAACCCGCCCAAACUUUUUUGGGUUGGGUACAAACUAAUUUUAAAUUGGGUCAGGUUUGAGCCCAUUAAACCUGACCCGUCAAAAAACAAUUCUCACCCAUUUCAACCUGUAAUAUACCCAUUUCAACCCGUAAUAUACCAACCAAAAUAAAAUCAACCAUCGACGACACAACUCCAAGACGCAAAUUUCUGAACCAGUGAACCCCAUCGCCGUCGACGGCACUCCUCGUUGUCGGAACACGUUUUCGACAGUUGGUCCUCUGUUCUUGAACUCCGAUUCAACGUUCUUCUUUAGUUGAUUACUCGAUUCAACUAAACUCUAUUGCUGAAGGAAUUUUGAGCUUUCAACUCACAUAAUCACUCAAAAACACUCAAAAUCACACACCACUUUGCUUAAUGGGAAAGUGCAUCAAGACGUGCCGACGAGAUGGAAUUCCACAUUCUUGAUGCUUGAUAGUUCUAUUCCUUAUCGUCGAGCAUUUUCUGAUUUUAAGGAAAUUAUUAUCUAUAUUUUCAUAAAGUUUGGAAAAUUCAUAUGAUGUUAAUUGAAGAGAAGUAUAGUGAAGAUCCUCAUAUUAAGGCAAUGGCAGAGGAAAUGACAAUUAAGUUCAAAAAGUAUUGGCAGGAAGACUAUAGUCCAAUUGCUUCAAUGGCGGUAGUUUUUGAUCCUCGGUACAAGUUAAAACUUGUAAGGUUUUGCUUUACCAAACUUGAUCCAGUCACUUGCAAUGAAAAGGUAAAAGUUGUUGAGUGUACUAUGCAUGCGUUAUUUAGAGAGUAUUUGAAAAAUUCAUCGGUUGAUGUUGAUAUGGUAGAAAGUAGUAGUGGUAGAGAUGAUGUUGAAGUGAUGGAUGAAAUGGAUGAGUAUGAUACUUUUGAAAGUCAAUCGGAACUUGGUUCAGAAAAGACAAUUAGAUUUCUACUUGGAAGAACCUGUGUUGGUUCGCAAAGGAAAUGAAGAUAUAAAUGUACUUAAGUUUUGGAAAGAUAAUUGGAUUAAGUAUCCGGAACUCUCACUGAUGGCAUGAGAUUUGCUAAGUAUUCCUAUUACCACUGUUACAUCUGAGUCUGCUUUCAGCAUUGGAGGUCGUGUUAUUGAUAAAUAUCAAAGCUCAAUUUUACCCGAAAAUGCAGAAGCAAAAUUGUGUUCGCGAGAUUGGAUCUAUGGUCAUCAAGUUUCUGCCGACUCUGAAGAGGAAGAUGACAUUGCAAUAGAUGUGAGUGAAGUUGCUGCUCAGAGAUUUAAUUAGCUUGGUGAAUGUGUGCAGCUCUUUGGUUUAAAGAAGGUGAACUUUGCUCAUGGACACCAGCUCAAGAACCUUGGUUGACGGUUGAGGAGAUGUCUCACAUCACUAGGAUUGGAAGGUUUCAGUUUCACUAAUCUGCAGGAGAUGAAUUAAUUCAAUUUUGCUGAUUCUUGCUGCCAAUAAAUUCAACUUCUGAUUGUUUUCGCUGCCGAGGGAAUUCUGAAUUGUUUAGCUCCAGCAAAAAAUAGAAUGAUGUGAAAAUCUUCUUUUGGAAUGUCUAGGGAUAAUAAGAUGCAUGGAUUAUGUUCAACAGGAUGCUUCAUAUUCUACACCUGUACUGAUGUUUUUUGAAACGUAGAAAUGAAAAGUAGUUGCUGCAGGAGCUAUU